Long non-coding RNA from Mus musculus (house mouse), 2673 nucleotides. RefSeq annotates it as RIKEN cDNA 3300002P09 gene. The transcript has a single exon. Lineage: Eukaryota; Metazoa; Chordata; Mammalia; Rodentia; Muridae. The record is from RefSeq and is marked validated.
GCACGCUCGGACGCACGUCGCCCGGCCCAGACCGCGGCCCGCAGUCGGGGCGCCCAGGCCGCCGCAGAGGCCGCUGGGAGGCGCCCGUUGGGGCCCUGCGCGGCCGGCGCGCUCAUUCACCUAUAGUAAAAGACAUCCCUGUGGCCGGCCGACAGCCCCGACCUCCUGGGCACUUCUUCCCUUUCCCAGCCCUGCGGGAGCGCCGGGCACUCCCACCUCUUCCGCUCCAUUGCGCCCCGGCUUUUCCGCCCGCCGUGGCCGAUGCCGCCGCCGCCGCCGCUUCUGCAAGUUGCGACCCCCGGGCUCGUCGCCGAUUCGGCUCCCUCCGCCGCCGCCACUCGCCGCAGCUGUUCUGUCCCACGGGCCUCCGCCCUCCGCCCCCAGCCGGGCGCGCGCCGGCUUCGCCACCCGCUCGGCCCCCUCCCCGCGCUUCACAGCCCCCGCUAGGGGGGCCGCUCCGCCCACCCGCCCGCGCGUGGGGCUCGUCUGCGCAGGCGUGGAGUCGGCCCCGCCCCUUCGCGCUCGCAGGACCAGUCUGACUGCCGUCCAGACUCUCUGCGCAGCCGCGGCCCCGACCCAGCCUUCGCUUGCCUUCAAGACCCGCCCCAAGGCUGUGAAGCCAAUCAGAUCACUUCAGCUCCUCGGCUUAAAAUGCACAGUUGGCUACGUCCCGCCUUGCGGGAGACGCCCACAGGGCAUGGAGACCAAUCAGCGCUCAGAACCUCGUUCUGUGCUUAACUUCUCAUAUAAAUCUGCUCUGAGACAAGGACAGCCAAUCAGCGUGGCCGGGGUGGGACAACCAUUGCGUUUGCGCUCUAGACUCCGGAAGCACAGUGUGUGCUGCACCUGGUCUGUACCAAGCUGGAGCAGUUUCGCCCGAGCUGCCGUCCUGGUCCUGGGGUCGCGCUGGGCUGCACCUGCGCAGUGUGCGUUUGUCAGGGACCCGCCUGGGCUUUGUGAAAAAGAUCGAGUACAACUCGGGGCCUUCGACGCAGUCCUGCUUCCCUCUGCGUUUCGUUCUGGCCUCUCGGCUGUUCCAGCCCCAGCCUCUAUUGCGUUACUGCGAGGACAGAAAUGCACCACCACUCCCGGCUUCACCAAGAACUAUUUAAGAAGUUUGUUCUUUGCAGCAGUACUGAAAAUAGAAAGCAGAACCUUACACGUGGUAGACUUUCUGCCGUUAGGCUGCACCCCAGCCUGAGUUUGAUGGCUCACGAACCUAUUUAGAACAUUCCUGGCCAGCCUGGGCCACACAGCAAUACCCUAAAAUCAGGCCAGGAAUAGUGGCACGUGCUUGCCAUCUCAGCACUGGGAUAGUGGAGGAAGGAGGAUCAAGCACUUCAAGACCAGCUUGGAGUUUACUAGAUCCAGCAUCAGAAGGAAGAACAAAACCAAAAACUGGUUUCUAAGUUAGUGAAUGGAGUCACUCGCACUAUCGCCCCUUGUCUACCGCAGCCCUGAGGACAGGGAGCUGGGGGGUCACUUACUCCUGCUUGGUACUGUCGGCUGCUUUGCCACUCAGGCCCAGCCAGACUUACCCAGGGAACAUGCCUGAAGGCCAACUACCUUCUCACCCAGGCUUCCAUUAUACAGUACCUGGAAGACCUCUCUUUGAAAGGGGACCCUCCCUGACAAGGAGAGCUGCCAAGGGAUCAUGAGGUGAAAUCACAACACAUUUAAAGAUCUUUGUCUUGCCUGCAAUUUUUGGAGCUCAGGAACUGUAUUUUAUGAGCUAGGAUUUGGGUCCCCAGAUCAGGAGGAGAGAUCAGAUCACAGUGAAGAAGGUCAGGGGGACAUGGAGGCUGGGAUUAGUGUUUUGUAUUUUUGAGUCAGAGUCUGACUUUGUAGCUUUCCCUGGCCUUGAACUCCGAGAUCCUUCUGCCCCCUGCUUCCCAGGUGCUGGGAUUAAGCCAGGCUUGGUGUCUGACAGAUUUUUGCAUGUGAGAAUGGCAGCAGAAAAUUGACACUGGGGUUCUCAAUUCUCUAUUUUUGAAUUUUAAAAAUCUGUGCCUCUUACCAUCCAGAACCAUCUAACUUCCCCAGACUGGGUCUCUCAGCUUGUAGCUUACUGCUUUAUCUGGGCUGGCAGGAAGGGAGGUCUCAGACAUGCAGCCUCCGGGCAAGGAAGUUCAGGCUCUCACGCGUGUUUGCCAAGCUGGUUACUCAACUGUCUUUCUCCUUCCAUCUUUUUUAUUCUUAAACCAAUAAGGGGUUUUAAGUGGCCCAGGAUGUCCUGAACCUUGCUAUGUAGCUGGGGUGACAGUUAUGAAGUGCUGGAGAUGGACCAAGAGCCUUGUACACCCUAAAGGAGCUCCAUCCCUAGCCGUUUCUGAUCUUGACAACUUUCCUGAGUUUAUCUUACUGUGUGAAUAGGUCAGAGCUUGCGCUCAGGUAUGAUGGUGUGGUGGUUUGAAUAUGGUUGGCCCAAGGAGUGGCACUAUUAGGAAGUGUGGCCUUGUUGGAGAGUGUCACUGGAGGGGUGGGCUUUGAGAGACCCUCCACCUAGCUGCCUGGAAAUCAGUCUUCUCCAAGCUGACUUCUGAUCAAGAUGUAGAACUCUUAGCUCCUUCUCGGGCACCACAACUGCCUGGAUGCUGUCAUUCGACCUUGAUGAUAAUGGACUGAACCUCUGAACCUGUAAGCCAGCUCCAAUUAAAUGUUGUCCUUAUAAGA